Molecule: ribosomal RNA, 1491 nt
Rfam family: Bacterial small subunit ribosomal RNA
GAUGAGCUCAUUUGUGAGAGUUUGAUCCUGGCUCAGGGUGAACGCUGGCGGCGUGGAUAAGGCAUGCAAGUCGAACGGAAUUAAUUUGCGAUUAUAUCAAUGAUUAAUUUAGUGGCGAACGAGUUAGUAACACCUUGGUACGUACCCCAAAGUCAGGCACAACCAGCCGAAAGGUUGGCUAAUACCUGAUAGUCUCGUGAGAGUAAAGCAGCAAUGCGCUUUGGGAGCGGCCUAGGUCCUAUCAGCUUGUUGGUGAGGUAACGGCUCACCAAGGCUAUGACGGGUAGGGGGUGUGAGAGCAUGGCCCCCAACGAUGGAACUGAGACACGGUCCUUACACCUACGGGUGGCUGCAGUCGAGAAUCUUCGACAAUGGGCGAAAGCCUGAUCGAGCGACGCCGCGUGGAGGAUGAAGCCCUUCGGGGUGUAAACUCCUUUUCACUGGGAGGAACUUUUGUGACUGUACCAGUGGAAUAAGAGGGUCCUAAUUCUGUGCCAGCAGGAGCGGUAAGACAGAACCCUCAAGCGUUACCCGGAAUUAUUGGGCGUAAAGCGUCCGUAGGUGGUUUGAUUAGUCUCCUGUUAAAGCUCGGGGCUCAACCCCGAAAGAGCGGGGGAAACGGUCAAACUUUGAGGGCGGCAGAGGUUACUGGAACGGUCGGUGUAGGGGUGAAAUCCGUUGAUAUCGACCGGAACGCCAAAGGUGAAGACAUGUAACUGGGCCGACCCUGACACUCAGUGGACGAAAGCGUGGGGAGCAAAAAGGAUUAGAUACCCUUGUAGUCCACGCUGUAAACGUUGAUCACUAGCUGUCUGAAGUAUCGACCCUUCAGGUGGCGAAGCUAACGCGUUAAGUGAUCCGCCUGGGGAGUACGGCCGCAAGGCUAAAACUCAAAGGAAUAGACGGGGACUCGCACAAGCGGUGGAGCAUGUGGUUCAAUUCGACAGUAAGCGAGGAACCUUACCAGGGCUUGACAUGACAGCGAAACAGAGCCGAAAGGUUUUGUGUCUCACAAGGACGCUGUCACAGGUGCUGCAUGGUUGUCGUCAGCUCGUGGCGUGAGCCGUUCCCUUAAGUGGGGAAACGAGCGCAACCCCUACUGUGUGUUAUACAUGUCACACAGAACUGCCCACGUUCAGUGGGAGGAAGGCGGGGAUGACGUCAAAUCCGCAUGGCCCUUAUGCCCUGGGCGACACACGUGCUACAAUGGGACCGACAACGCGUCGCGAAGCCGUAAGGCGGAGCCAAUCGCAUCAAACGGUCUCUCAGUUCGGAUUGAGGUCUGCAACUCGACCUCAUGAAGCUGGAAUCGCUAGUAAUCGCGGAUCAGCCAUGCCGCGGUGAAUACGUUCUCGAGUCUUGUACUCACCGCCCGUCACGUCAAGGGAGCCGGGAAUGCCCCAAGCUCAUGCUUUGCAUGGUCCAAGGCAGGCUCGGUGACAGGGACGAAGUCGUAACAAGGCACCGGUAGCGGAAGCUGUCGGUGGAUCA